UCUUACCAUACUCCCCUGAAGUCUAGCCGUUUGCUUUUUCUGAACAAAUGGAGGUGUAUGGGAACUGUUGAGUCAAUCUUGCUUUAGUGUGAUCACCUGAGGAAAGGACUGAGUCAGCCCUGGGAGCACAGGUGAAGGCUUUAGACCCCAUUUAAAGGCUGACUGCCACUAGGAAGGAUCUCUUUCUGGAGAUCCCUCCUCUGUGGAGUCUUUCCUGUGAACCUAGACCUUUGGAUACAGGUGAGCAUUCCUUCCCAGUUUGCUUCUUUUCCUAUUUCCAUCAUGAUAAUCUUUCCAGCUGUAACAGGAGGCCCUUCAAUGAGGAGGAAACUAUAACAAAUCACCAGUAAUUAUGUUCCUUGGAGGUUUUUUAUUACGAGCAUUUUAGGGUAAAUUCGAAUGAACAAUUCUUACAUCCUUUGACUUUAGAACUUUUCAUUGCUACUCUGUGUUUAUUUUAUUUCUUAUCUAAGUCUGUGUGCUGCUUUAACAGGUGACUGGGUGAAUUGCAGAGAAUUGCAAAGGAGGAACUGAUGCACCUAACCAUCACACAAUGAACUGGCGACCUUUACAGGAACAUCUGCUUCAAGUACAGAAGGGGCAAUUUAUAACAGUCUUUGUGUAACCAAAUUAUCCUUGUCAGAUGGUAUGGUUGUGUGAGACUCGAUUAAGUGAAUGUUGGACAGUAUCGUUGGUACCAACUUUAAAUGCACGACUAGCCUUUUCUAAUCUGUCUAUUGAAUAGACAGAACUAGGCCAUAGUCAGAAAGAAAAACCAACCUUGAGAGGUGCACCAAAGUUGGAGUAAUCUCACCUUUUAUCAGACAUCUGCAGUAUCAUGGCCGUGCCUACUGUGGUCCUGGAGACACUUGAUGUGGUCAAUAGAGAAACAUGGUUCAGAAGAUAAGUGGUACAUUUCUACGUUAUGAGUGUCAGGAAAGAGCCAAUAUACUUCUCCGGUAUGCGUGUACUGAAUAUAGCAGGCGUGAAGCAAGCUGAUUGUUUACCUACUUCUCUCCUAAUCUCUUCUCAGUAGCUUUUAAACCAACUGUUCAGCUUCAUCUGGAUUUGAAGGAAGG
RNAcentral lists this long non-coding RNA (1079 nucleotides) under Phasianus colchicus (ring-necked pheasant). RNAcentral's name for it is "lncRNA (ENSPCLG00000003014.1)". Lineage: Eukaryota; Metazoa; Chordata; Aves; Galliformes; Phasianidae. The record is from RNAcentral.